RNAcentral lists this small nuclear RNA (58 nucleotides) under Cervus elaphus hippelaphus. The record is from RNAcentral. Lineage: Eukaryota; Metazoa; Chordata; Mammalia; Artiodactyla; Cervidae.
UUGCUUCUCUGCCUUUUGGCUAAGAUUAGUGUAGGAUCUGUUCCUAUCAGCUCAAAAU